AAUCCGAGAAUUCAAUCGGCGGCUGUAUGUUGACUGACAAGAAUAUAAUUGCUGUUAAUCCGGCCCUGCUUCGUGUACAAAUGCAUAGUGGGGAGACAUGAACAUUUUUUGAAAUUGCGGCCCUAUCCUCUUGGGAUUCUACGUUGGACAAAUUCUGAAAACGACCCCAGAAAUAUAAUUGAGGUUCAAACCCGUGCGAGGUGAGCUUUCAUAUAUGAAACAGACCAGUCAUGGGGACACGAGAUAUGGAAAGUUUCAGCGUAGUCGUCGCCACAUUGCUGCCAACACUGCAUAUAUAAGGAAUCACGAACCAUUCAGGAAUAUUGAGACUUAGACCAGUAUCUUUUUAAGUCGGCAUGUGGGGUAAAGAAGACGCGAAAGCUUCAGUCGUGUACCA
Cylas formicarius (sweet potato weevil) is the source of this 397-nucleotide long non-coding RNA. RefSeq lists it as uncharacterized. The transcript is spliced from 3 exons. The record is from RefSeq and is a predicted model, not a curated record. NCBI's taxonomy places the organism in Eukaryota, Metazoa, Arthropoda, Insecta, Coleoptera, Brentidae.